This 1028-nucleotide long non-coding RNA is filed under the name Homo sapiens (human). Its description in RNAcentral is "non-protein coding lnc-ABO-33:4". The record is from RNAcentral. Lineage: Eukaryota; Metazoa; Chordata; Mammalia; Primates; Hominidae.
AGACGCGGAGCCAUGGCCGAGGUGUUGCGGACGCUGGCCGAUACGUGGCUUUCCUGAAGCUGUUCCUGGAGACGGCGGAGAAGCACUUCAUGGUGGGCCACCGUGUCCACUACUAUGUCUUCACCGACCAGCCGGCCGCGGUGCCCCGCGUGACGCUGGGGACCGGUCGGCAGCUGUCAGUGCUGGAGGUGCGCGCCUACAAGCGCUGGCAGGACGUGUCCAUGCGCCGCAUGGAGAUGAUCAGUGACUUCUGCGAGCGGCGCUUCCUCAGCGAGGUGGAUUACCUGGUGUGCGUGGACGUGGACAUGGAGUUCCGCGACCACGUGGGCGUGGAGAUCCUGACUCCGCUGUUCGGCACCCUGCACCCCGGCUUCUACGGAAGCAGCCGGGAGGCCUUCACCUACGAGCGCCGGCCCCAGUCCCAGGCCUACAUCCCCAAGGACGAGGGCGAUUUCUACUACCUGGGGGGGUUCUUCGGGGGGUCGGUGCAAGAGGUGCAGCGGCUCACCAGGGCCUGCCACCAGGCCAUGAUGGUCGACCAGGCCAACGGCAUCGAGGCCGUGUGGCACGACGAGAGCCACCUGAACAAGUACCUGCUGCGCCACAAACCCACCAAGGUGCUCUCCCCCGAGUACUUGUGGGACCAGCAGCUGCUGGGCUGGCCCGCCGUCCUGAGGAAGCUGAGGUUCACUGCGGUGCCCAAGAACCACCAGGCGGUCCGGAACCCGUGAGCGGCUGCCAGGGGCUCUGGGAGGGCUGCCGGCAGCCCCGUCCCCCUCCCGCCCUUGGUUUUAGCAGAACGGGUAAACUCUGUUUCCUUUGUCCGUCCUGUUGUGAGUAACUGAAGCCUAGGCCCCGUCCCCACCUCAAAUCACACACACCCCCUCCCCACCACAGAGACACCAUUACAUACACAGACACACACAGAAAGACACACACAGACACAAAAUCACACACACACCCUCCCCGCCACAGAGACACCAUUACAUACACAGACACACACAGAAAGACACAGACACAAAAUCACA